UACGUAGGGUGCAAGCGUUGUCCGGAAUUAUUGGGCGUAAAGAGCUCGUAGGCGGUUUGUCGCGUCUGCUGUGAAAACGCGAGGCUCAACCUCGCGCCUGCAGUGGGUACGGGCAGACUAGAGUGCGGUAGGGGAGAUUGGAAUUCCUGGUGUAGCGGUGGAAUGCGCAGAUAUCAGGAGGAACACCAAAGGCGAAGGCAGUGUCCUGGGGAGUACCUGACGCUCAGGUGCGAAAGCCAGGGAAGCGAACGGG
This 253-nucleotide ribosomal RNA is filed under the name uncultured bacterium. Its description in RNAcentral is "partial 16S ribosomal RNA". It matches the Rfam family "Bacterial small subunit ribosomal RNA", at positions 524 to 776 of the family's 1533-position model. The record is from RNAcentral.